This is a long non-coding RNA of Toxotes jaculatrix (banded archerfish), 306 nucleotides long. RefSeq lists it as uncharacterized. The transcript is spliced from 3 exons. NCBI's taxonomy places the organism in Eukaryota, Metazoa, Chordata, Actinopteri, Toxotidae. The record is from RefSeq and is a predicted model, not a curated record.
UGGUGUCAAAUGCAGCACUGAGAGCCAGUAGGACGAGUCCACUGUCUGAUGCUUUGACCAGUUGAAGUUCCUUCCUCUGACGAACCAGUUGUGACUGGGAACCAUUUGGGAUUCCACUCACUGCUGAGCUGUGAAAACAAGUCUCCACUUCCUGCUGCCCCAUCGCGUUGUUGCCACGCUAGCGUCGUCACGCCAGCCCCGCUGCAUGAUGGGAGACUCAGUGAAGGUGAAGGUCAGGAACAGAAGAGCAGUCGGACGUCAUCAUGUCCCAGAGGCAGCAGCAGCACAGAGCGGCUGAACAGGCCG